GGUGAAGUAAGUGGCGUGGCUGGUAUCUGUUUAUGUUGCGCCUGUGCGUGUGUAUGCGCCUAUCAGACUGGUAUGGCAUAUGGCCACACAGAUAGACCGGUUGGUAUGGCUGGUACUUUCCCAGCUAGACUGAAGCCAAACUCCCAUGUAAUUUCCUCCUCUAAAAAAACAGAGGGAGGGAGAGAAAGAGGGAGAGGUCCUCUGGUCCAGGAGUCUUCUUCUGUCUUUUUUUUGUCCUAGCAACAUAAUCAGCUCUUUAACAUUACCAAUAGUUAGUCGGGCAUUAGUGGGGUUCCCCAGUCUCUCCUGUAUCCGAUUGUAGCCAAUGGGGCGGCAGGGUAGCCUAGUGGUUAGAGCGUUGGACUAGUAACCUGAAAGGUUGCAAGUUCAAAUCCCCGAGCUGACAAAUCUGUCGUUCUGCCCCUGAACAGGCCGUCAUUGAAAAUAAAAAAUGUGUUCUUAACUGACUUGCCUAGUUAAAUAAAGGUAACAUAAAUACACCCCUUGGUCUGAGUGAUGAAAGCACUUGUCUUUAAGUUUGUAGAACAGUGGAAACGAAUGGGACAGAGAGAGAGAGAGAGAGAGAGAAGAGAAUAGACGCACAAUGAGAUUCCUAUCGAAAGUAAAAGUGAAUCGAUGCCGUGGGUGCGACGCGAACAGACAGACGCACAACAAACGGCAGCAAAGUGCACGGAGCGUUCAAGGACAGCUAUAGCUUAAUGCAUGGAUCAUAUAGUGGAUCAUAUGGUGGAAGCUGUUGCGUUUUAACCGAGGGGAUGGAGACUCUCGAUGCCCGCCAGACAGGUGCCAGGAUGCAGGAUAUGGACAUCAUGGAUCUGCCCCCCUCCCUUACACCUGAGGUUGAAGACUUUCUGCCAGGUAACCCUGGACAAAACACGGAUCUACAGAGAUAUAGUUACCCUGGACUAACACAGAGAUAUAGUUACCCUGGACUGUCACAGAGAUAUAGUUACCCUGGACUAACACAGAUAUAUAGUUACCCUGGACUAACACAGAGAUAUAGUUACCCUGGACUAACACAGAUAUAUAGUUACCCUGGAGUAACACAGAUAUAUAGUUACCCUGGACUAACACAGAUAUAUAGUUACCCUGGACUAACACAGAGAUAUAGUUACCCUGGACUAACACAGAGAUAUAGUUUCCCUGGACUAACACAGAUAUAUAGUAACCCUGGACUAACACAGAGAUAUAGUUACCCUGGACUAAACACUGAUCUACAGAGAUAUAGUUACCCUGGACUAACACAGAUAUAUAGUUACCCUGGACAAACACAGAUAUAUAGUUACCCUGGACCAACACAGAGAUAUAGUUACCCUGGACUAACACAGAUAUAUAGUUACCCUGGGCUAACACAGAGAUAUAGUUACCCUGGACUAACACAGAGAUAUAGUUACCCUGGACUAAACACUGUUCUACAGAGAUAUAGUUACCCUGGACUAACACAGAGAUUUAGUUACCCUGGACUAGCACAAAGAUAUAGUUACCCUGGACUAACACAGAGAUAUAGUUACCCUGGACUAAACACUGAUCUACAGAGAUAUAGUUACCCUAGACUAACACAGAGAUUUAGUUACCCUGGACUAGCACAAAGAUAUAGUUACCCUGGACUAACACAGAGAUAUAGUUACCCUGGACUAAACACUGAUCUACAGAGAUAUAGUUACCCUGGACUAACACUGAUCUACAGAGAUAUAGUUACCCUGGACUAACACAUAGAUAUAGUUACCCUGGACUAACACAGAUAUAUAGUUACCCUCGACUAACACAGAGAUAUAGUUACCCUGGACUAAACACAGAGAUAUAGUUACCCUGGACUAAACACAGAGAUAUAGUUACCCUGGACUAACACAGAGAUAUAGUUACCCUGGACUAACACAGAGAUAUAGUUACCCUGGACUAAACACUGUUCUACAUAGAUAUAGUUACCCUGGACUAACACAAAGAUAUAGUUACCCUGGACUAACACAGAGAUAUAGUUACCCUGGACUAACACAGAGAUAUAGUUACCCUGGACUAAACACUGUUCUACAGAUAAAUAGUUACCCUGGACUAACACAGAGAUAUAGUUACCCUGGACUAACACAGAGAUAUAGUUACCCUGGACUAACACAGAGAUAUAGUUACCCUGGACUAACACAGAUAUAUAGUUACCCUGGACUAACACAGAGAUAUAGUUACCCUGGACUAAACACAGAGAUAUAGUUACCCUGGACUAACACAGAUAUAUAGUUACCCUGGACUAACACAGAUAUAUAGUUACCCUGGACUAACACAGAGAUAUAGUUACCCUGGACUAACACAGAGAUAUAGUUACCCUGGACUAAACACUGAUCUACAGAGAUAUAGUUACCCUGGACUAACACAGAGAUAUAGUUACCCUGGACUAACACAGAAAUAUAGUUACCCUGGACUAAACACUGUUCUACAUAGAUAUAGUUACCCUGGACUAGCCUGUUAUCUCUGUUAGCUCUGUUAGCCCUGUUAGCCUUUUUAGCUCUGUUACCCUGUUAGCUUUGUUAGCUUUGUUAGCUCUGUUAGCUCUGUUAGCCCUGUUAGCCUUUUUAGCUCUGUUACCCUGUUAGCUUUGUUAGCUUUGUUAGCUCUGUUAGCUCUGUUACCCCUGUUAGCUCUGUUAGCCCUGUUAGCUCUGUUAGCCCUGUUAGCCUUUUUAGCUCUGUUACCCUGUUAGCUUUGUUAGCUUUGUUAGCUCUGUUAGCUCUGUUAGCUCUGUUAGCUCUGUUAGCCCUGUUAGCCUUUUUAGCUCUGUUACCCUGUUAGCUUUGUUAGCUUUGUUAGCUCUGUUAGCUCUGUUACCCUGUUAGCUUUGUUAGCUUUGUUAGCUCUGUUAGCUCUGUUAGCCCUGUUAGCUCUGUUAGCCCUGUUAGCUCUGUUAACAUCUUAUCUAUGUUACCCAACUAUUCUGAUUCAUCCCCAACACCUGUUAGCCCUGUUAGCUGCCCCCAGAGCAGGUUUGUUCUGAAGGAUUCGUUGCCAUUACCUGGCUAAAUGGUGAACCACUUUUGUGGUACCAGUUAUCCUGAAUUUAACUCAAGAGUUGACUAAAGUUACCUUGGUAGUUUAUAGGACUCGGGUAACCGUGCAACAAUUACCUUGGUAGUUUAUAGGACUCAGGUAACCGUGCAACAAUUACCUUGGUAGUUUAUAGGACUCAGGUAACCAUGCAACAAUUACCUUGGUAGUUUAUAGGACUCAGGUAACCAUGCAACAAUUACCUUGGUAGUUUAUAGGACUCAGGUAACCGUGCAACAAUUACCUUGGUAGUUUAUAGGACUCAGGUAACCAUGCAACAAUUACCUUGGUAGUUAUAGGGCUACCAGGUAACCGUGCAACAAUUACCUUGGUAGUUUAUAGGACUCAGGUAACCAUGCAACAAUUACCUUGGUAGUUAUAGGGCUACCAGGUAACCGUGCAACAAUUACCUUGGUAGUUAUAGGGCUACCAGGUAACCGUGCAACAAUUACCUUGGUAGUUAUAGGGCUACCAGGUAACCGUGCAACAAUUACCUUGGUAGUUAUAGGGCUACCAGGUAACCGUGCAACAAUUACCUUGGUAGUUAAAGGGCUACCAGGUAACCGUGCAACAAUUACCUUGGUAGUUAUAGGGCUACCAGGUAACCGUGCAACAAUUACCUUGGUAGUUAUAGGGCUACCAGGUAACCGUGCAACAAUUACCUUGGUAGUUAUAGGGCUACCAGGUAACCGUGCAACAAUUACCUUGGUAGUUAUAGGGCUACCAGGUAACCGUGCAACAAUUACCUUGGUAGUUUAUAGGACUCGGGUAACCGUGCAACAAUUACCUUGGUAGUUUAUAGGACUCAGGUAACCGUGCAACAAUUACCUUGGUAGUUUAUAGGACUCAGGUAACCAUGCAACAAUUACCUUGGUAGUUUAUAGGACUCAGGUAACCAUGCAACAAUUACCUUGGUAGUUUAUAGGACUCAGGUAACCGUGCAACAAUUACCUUGGUAGUUUAUAGGACUCAGGUAACCAUGCAACAAUUACCUUGGUAGUUAUAGGGCUACCAGGUAACCGUGCAACAAUUACCUUGGUAGUUUAUAGGACUCAGGUAACCGUGCAACAAUUACCUUGGUAGUUAUAGGGCUACCAGGUAACCGUGCAACAAUUACCUUGGUAGUUAUAGGGCUACCAGGUAACCGUGCAACAAUUACCUUGGUAGUUAUAGGGCUACCAGGUAACCGUGCAACAAUUACCUUGGUAGUUAUAGGGCUACCAGGUAACCGUGCAACAAUUACCUUGGUAGUUAAAGGGCUACCAGGUAACCGUGCAACAAUUACCUUGGUAGUUAUAGGGCUACCAGGUAACCGUGCAACAAUUACCUUGGUAGUUAUAGGGCUACCAGGUAACCGUGCAACAAUUACCUUGGUAGUUAUAGGGCUACCAGGUAACCGUGCAACAAUUACCUUGGUAGUUAUAGGGCUACCAGGUAACCGUGCAACAAUUACCUUGGUAGUUAUAGGGCUACCAGGUAACCGUGCAACAAUUACCUUGGUAGUUAUAGGGCUACCAGGUAACCGUGCAACAAUUACCUUGGUAGUUAUAGGGCUACCAGGUAACCGUGCAACAAUUACCUUGGUAGUUAUAGGGCUACCAGGUAACCGUGCAACAAUUACCUUGGUAGUUAUAGGGCUACCAGGUAACCGUGCAACAAUUACCUUGGUAG
Molecule: long non-coding RNA, 4722 nt
Filed under: Oncorhynchus mykiss (rainbow trout)
Lineage: Eukaryota; Metazoa; Chordata; Actinopteri; Salmoniformes; Salmonidae
Description: lncRNA (ENSOMYG00000063039.1)
Source: RNAcentral